Molecule: ribosomal RNA, 479 nt
Filed under: uncultured bacterium
Lineage: Bacteria
Description: bacterial SSU rRNA
Rfam family: Bacterial small subunit ribosomal RNA
Source: RNAcentral
GACGAACGCUGGCGGCGUGCCUAACACAUGCAAGUCGAACGAGGUCCAUCCUUCGGGAGAAGACCUAGUGGCGAACGGGUGAGUAACACGUGAAGAACCUGCCCCGAAGACCGGGAUAACCCUCCGAAAGGAGAGCUAAUACCGGAUACCCCCACCGAACCGCAUGGUUUGGUGAGGAAAUGGAUUCCGCUUCGGGAGGGCUUCGCGGCCUAUCAGCUAGUUGGUGGGGUAACGGCCCACCAAGGCAUCGACGGGUAGCUGGUCUGAGAGGACGAUCAGCCACACUGGGACUGAGGCACGGCCCAGACUCCUACGGGAGGCAGCAGUGGGGAAUCUUGCGCAAUGGGCGAAAGCCUGACGCAGCAACGCCGCGUGGGGGAUGAAGGCUCUCGGGUUGUAAACCCCUUUCAGCAGGGACGAAUCAAGACGGUACCUGCAGAAGAAGCCCCGGCUAACUACGUGCCAGCAGCCGCGGUAAU